CAUAAUUGAUUAGGGUUACAACCCAAAUGAUCAACAAUUACUCAUCUUAUGUUUGUAGAUGAUUGCAUCCUUUUUAGUGAGGUAUCUAACAGGGGGAUAAAUACACUUAAAGAAAUUCUUCAAGAAUACGAGGCUUGUUCUAGGUAGUGCGUCAAUUUUGAAAAAUCCACUGUUUUGUUUCAGCACAAAUAUGACUGAUCAGGGGAAAAACUUGGCCUUUCAAGGUCUAAAUGUGAGGUGUUCGAGAGAUAUGGAGAAAUAUUUGGGAUUUCCAAAUAGGAUUGGAAAAAGAAAUGGGCUUUGCAAAACCUGAAAGAUAGGUUGAAACAGAAGAUUAACAACUAGAGCAUAAGGUUUAUUUUUCAAGGCGGUAGAGAGGUUUUUAUAAAAGCUAUUUUGCAAGCAAUUCCCACCUAUUCGAUGGCAUGUUUUCUUUUUCCAAAAUCCAUUUGUUCGGAACUUGAAAACAUAAUGAGCUCCUUUUGGUGGCAAAAAGGUCAUGGUAAGAGAGGUUUGCAUUGGUGCAAUUGGAAGGCUCUAAGUGAGCUAAAAAAGGAGGGUGGUAUGGGUUUUCGUAGUCUUAGUCUUUUUAAUAUUGCAUUAUUGGCCAAACAGGGUUGGCAUUUAUUACGUAAUCCUAAUUCUUUACUAGCGCGCAUUUUGAAGGCUAAAUAUUAGAAAGACUCCGAUUUUUUAAACUCUAGGUUGGGUAAUUUACCUUUCUUUACCUGGCAAAGAAUAUGGGCUGCAAAGGGUCUCCUUUUAAAAGGUUUGGGAUGGCGGAUUGGAGACGGCCAGCAAGUGUCCAUUUGGGGAGAUGCUUGGGUCCCUGGAUUGGAGAAAGUUAGACUUUAGAAUAAAAAUCCCAAUUCGGGGUUGAUAAAGGUUACAGAUUUGAUUGAUUCUUAUACAAGGAAAUGGAAUGUGGACCUAAUUUAUAGUACCUUUACGGAGAGGGAGGCUGAGAGAAUCUUAUGUAUUCCGUUGGCCUUGAGCUCGGAUGAAGACCUCACUAGUUGGAGAGGAGAGCUGACUGGUGAAUACUCGGUCCAUAGUGGUUACUAGUUUCUUUUACACGAUGGCCAUAAUCAAAUACAGAAUAGUUACAAAAUAUUUUACAAGCGACUUUGGAAUUUAGAGCUGCCAUCUAAAAUCAAAAUUACAAUUUGGAGAAGCUCUCAUAACUAUCUUCCUAACAAUAGUAAUCUUCACUAUAGGCGGUUGAUGGGUUAUGCCAUUUGCCAAAAGUGUCAAGCGUGAGCAGAAACGAGGCAACACUUAUUCAGAGACUGCCCUACUGCAAAAGAAACGUGGGAGAAGUUAAACUUUUGUUGGCCUAGUUCAAGGGGUAACACUGAUUUUCUAGAAGUUCUAAUGCAUAUUUUUUAUUCUCACUCUAUUUCUAAGUGCAAAUUGUUUACAUGUGCAAUAUAGGCGAUUUGGACUUCCAGGAACAAGUUUAUACAUGAGGGGGAAAUGAAAUCGAGAACCCAAGUGGGAGAAUUUGUUCUAAACUACUUGAAAGAAUUAGAAGGGUUAAACUUGUUGGUAUCUGAGAGAAGGAUCCCUACGGUCAGAUGGGUAGCUCCGAUUGGAUCGAGAGUCAAAAUUAACUUUGAUGCCACUUUCAAUAGACAUAAGAGAGAAUCAUUCUUUGGGUUAGUAGUCAGAAAUGAAAAAGCAGAAGUGAUUUGCUCAAGUGCUAUUUUAAAUGUGAAUAUACCAUCAGUGUUUGCGGCUGAGGUGAGGGCGUGCCUUCAGGCUCUUGAUCUGGGUUUACAACUCAGACUGAGAGAGGUGGAAGUGGAGGGAGACUCUUGAAUGGGGAUCCACAAACUACAAGAAGAAAAAGAGGAUAGAUCUAAAAUUGCAGCUUUUAUAAAAGAUUUAAAGCAACAGAGUUUAAAUUUCAAUUUCUGUGUUUUUCGUUUCAUAAACAGGGAUUCUAACAGAGUUGCUCAUGCAAUUGCGACUGGAGGAAUUAAAAUUGGAGUUUAUACUUAUCGUUGAAUAAGGCGCCUUCUGGGGCUUAGGUUGUGGCGGAUAAGGAACAGAGAUGGAUGAAGCACAUAAGGGAGAUGGGGGGACGGUCUGUUGAAGUAGAAAUGGAAGAUGUUUUUGAAGAAAGCUAAUGGUUGGUUUCUUCAAGGAAGGAGAUUGGUUUUGGGAGUAGGUGUUUUCAGUCUGCAGAUGAGAGAUGGAAGUGAUGGAUGAUAAUUAUGAAUUUUCGUUUUCCCAGGCGAUCGCGUUAUUUUCAAGUGGGGGUAGCUAUUGGUUUCUAGCUGGGACGCUUGGUCAUAGAGUUCCCUACCUAUUCGUUUGCUGGGUCUUUGUUACUAUGGGCUGUUUAUCUUGGGCCGUUUCAUUUUUUUUCUAGUUUUGUUUGCUUUCUUGUUUCCUGGAUGUCUUUGUUUUGUUUGAAUUUUGUUUGGGCCUGAAGAGAAUAAAGAUCCAG
This 2455-nucleotide long non-coding RNA is filed under the name Gossypium barbadense (sea-island cotton). RNAcentral's name for it is "long non-coding RNA (GBAR_LNC002458)". The record is from RNAcentral. Lineage: Eukaryota; Viridiplantae; Streptophyta; Magnoliopsida; Malvales; Malvaceae.